RNAcentral lists this ribosomal RNA (497 nucleotides) under uncultured bacterium. RNAcentral's name for it is "partial 16S ribosomal RNA". It matches the Rfam family "Bacterial small subunit ribosomal RNA", at positions 28 to 507 of the family's 1533-position model. The record is from RNAcentral.
GAUGAACGCUGGCGGCGUGCCUAAUACAUGCAAGUCGAGCGAACGGACGAGAAGCUUGCUUCUCUGAUGUUAGCGGCGGACGGGUGAGUAACACGUGGAUAACCUACCUAUAAGACUGGGAUAACUUCGGGAAACCGUAGCUAAUACCGGAUAAUAUUUUGAACCGCAUGGUUCAAAAGUGAAAGACGGCCUUGCUGUCACUUAUAGAUGGAUCCGCGCUGCAUUAGCUAGUUGGUAAGGUAACGGCUUACCAAGGCAACGAUGCAUAGCCGACCUGAGAGGGUGAUCGGCCACACUGGAACUGAGACACGGUCCAGACUCCUACGGGAGGCAGCAGUAGGGAAUCUUCCGCAAUGGGCGAAAGCCUGACGGAGCAACGCCGCGUGAGUGAUGAAGGUCUUCGGAUCGUAAAACUCUGUUAUUAGGGAAGAACAUAUGUGUAAGUAACUGUGCACAUCUUGACGGUACCUAAUCAGAAAGCCACGGCUGACUACGUG